This 301-nucleotide ribosomal RNA is filed under the name uncultured bacterium. Its description in RNAcentral is "partial 16S ribosomal RNA". It matches the Rfam family "Bacterial small subunit ribosomal RNA", at positions 509 to 807 of the family's 1533-position model. The record is from RNAcentral.
CAGCCGCCACGGUAAUACGUAGGGUGCAAGCGUUAAUCGGAAUUACUGGGCGUAAAGCGUGCGCAGGCGGUUUGUUAAGACAGAUGUGAAAUCCCCGGGCUCAACCUGGGAACUGCAUUUGUGACUGGCAAGCUAGAGUCUGGCAGAGGGGGGUGGAAUUCCGCGUGUAGCAGUGAAAUGCGUAGAUAUGCGGAGGAACACCGAUGGCGAAGGCAGCCCCCUGGGCCAACACUGACGCUCAUGCACGAAAGCGUGGGGAGCAAACAGGAUUAGAGACCCCCGUAGUCCCUGUCUCUUAUAC